UCCUUGGUUCAAGCGAUUCUCCUGCCUCAGCCUUCCAAGUGGCUGGGACUACAGGCAUGCACCACCAUACCCGGCUAAUUUUGUAAUUUUAGUAGAGACGAUGUUUCACCAUGUUGAUCAGGCUGGUCUCGAACUCCUGACCUCAAAUUAUCCGAGCUCUUCGGUCUCAAAGUGCUGGGAUUACAGGCGUGAGCCACUGCACCCCUGGCCUAGCUUGCUGCCUUUUAUUCCUUUAUUGUGGGGACAUACUGUGGUUUCUUCAUUCAUUCUCCUAUUGACGGACACUUUGGCUGUUUGAACAUUUUUGCACAAGUAAUUUUGUGUAUGAAUGUUUUCCUUUCUCUUGGGUAAAUACCCAGGAGUGAAAUGAGUGGGUCAUAGUUGAAAUGGUUGUAGCCUUUCACUCCCCCACGACAACGUCUGAGUCCUGGUGUGACCUAGUCUAUUUGUUGCCUUUCUGGUGAACGUGUGGUGUAUGUUAAUGUGGUUGACUUGCAUUUCCCUGAUGAAUUAUGAAAACAAGAACUUGUUUAGUAUGCUUUUUGGUCAUUUGUAUAUAUUCUUUUGUGACCCUAACUUUUUAAAAUUAAUUUUUAUUUCUCUUCCUUAAUAAGCACUGUGAAGUGGCAUUGCACUUAGGCAAAUAGGCAUUUAACACAUGAAUUGAAUUUCUUCCCCAUCCUUACCCUUCAGUGAAGACUGUCCAAGAUAUGCAAACCAAUACAAAGAGAACUCUUUGAGAAAAAGCUGAGUCAGGCCCCUUGAUCAUGUCAUACCUGAGUUCCACUCUCUGGGACGCUGGUAGCCUCAUCAUGAAGCAGAUGUGGGAGGCCAGCCGGUGAGGCGCUGCUGGCCUGUGCAGUGUGCACGAUGUCCUCUAAGUAAGGUUGGGGGGAUGCUGAUGCAUCAGGGGAUGGGCAUACUGGACGUGGGGGAAAGGGCAAAAAAUAGCCCUUUGCUCUAAAGAGCUCAGCUUAUGGGUUUUGGUGGGGAAGGGAGUGGAAGUGCGGGGAUCACAGCUGAGGCCAGGGAGGAAAUGAAGCACAGCCUCCAGAGUUGGAUUAGUGGCCUCCAGAGUUGGAUUAGUGGCUACAGGGAAAUCGUGACGCCAGGGAGCUUCUUUAGGUGUCAGGCAGAGGAUCUUGUUCUUUCAAUGGAGAAUGACAUUUGUCACCCCACUUAGCAGAGGCUCCUUUGAGCCAGCUCAGAUGGUUUACAAGACAACCAUGCAGAGCCACCAGGUACCCAGGGGCAUUCGUGGCCUGGGUUCAGCAUGGCCUGGCCCUGCGUCCCCUCUCCCUGCCCUAGGGAGGAGAAGAAAUUCAAUUCAUGUGUUGAAUGCCUGUUUGACUAAGUGCAAUGCCACUUCACAGUGCUUAUGGACACUCAGACUCAGUUUCUAUUAUUAUUAUUAUUUGAAAACAAAUUUUCGAGACAGAGUCUUGCUCUGUUGCCCAGGCUACAGUAUAGUGAUGUGAUUUCAGCUCACUACAGCCUUUGCCUCCCAGGCUCAAGUGAUCCUUCCACCUUGGCCUCCAAGUAGCUAGAACCACAGGUGCACAUCGCCACGCCUGGCUAAUUUUAUGUAUUUUUUGUAAAGACAAGGUUUCGCCAUGUUGCCCAGGCUGGUCUCAAACUCCUGUACUCAAGUGAUCUGCCCAUCUCAGCCUCCCAAAGUGCUGGGAUUACAGGCAUGAGCCACCACGCGUGGCCUUCUUCUUCCUUUAUCAACCCCAUUUCUAUCCUUCCCUGGGUCGCCCCUGCCUGUUCCCACCCACGCGCUUCACUUCAUUUGCAGCAACUCAUUGCAUUGUUGGAGGACUUCACUGCUCUGUUUCUGUGGACCGAUAGCUGCCCCGGAAUUUCACUAGAAAUCCUUGGACUAGGCCACGGAGACAGAGAAAGAGGAAAAGGAGAUAAAAAGAAGCUGGAUUAAGAAAAGGGUCAGGAAGAAGGGGUGAAUGAGAAGGCGAGGAAGAAAGGGGCUCAGAUGAUUUCUGCAGAGUUUGGGGUAGCACCCGUGAGAGGCGUCUGCUUCCACCGCUGGGUUAGGUGCUCCCCCCGGGUGAGGUGCUCCUUCCUGGGUUAGGUUCUCCUCCCAGGUUAGGCACUCUUCCCUAGGUUAGGCGCUCCUCCCUGGUUUACGCGCUCCUCCCUGGGUUAGGCGCUCCUCCCUGGGUUAGGCGCUCCUCCCUGGGUUAGGCGCUCCUCCCUGGGUUAGGUGCUCAGGACCCUGCGAGCAAAGUGAAGCUGCUGCUUCCCACUCCCUGGAGACAACGCCUUCCCUCUCAGUGCAGGUUCACAGCAUGCCGGGCAGGCAGCCCCUGGUCAGCACGUGAGGGGAUACGAUGAAAACAGGAACUUACAAUCCAAAGAGAUCUCUUGCAGCACAGCUCUGCUUAUGCGGCGGGGACAACAUGUGGAAAAAAUGUCCCCCACAUUUGUCUCAUUUCUCACUGGAUCAAACUACUCUCCUUAUUCCUUUAGAAUCAGGUGCUGUCAAAGACAGGGAAUGAACCUAAAUGGCCAUCAGUGGUAGACUUGGAUAAAGAAAAUGUGGUUUACAUAUGCCAUGGAAUCCUUACCAGUCAUAAAAAAAUGAGAUGGUGCCUUUUGCAGGGACGUGGAUGGAGCUGGAGGCCAUUAUUCUUAGCAAACUAAUGCAGGAACAGAAACCAAAUACCACAUGUUCUCACUUAUAAGUGGGAGCUAAAUGAUGAGAACACAUGGACGUGGAGAUGGGAAUAGCAG
Molecule: long non-coding RNA, 2751 nt
Organism: Macaca mulatta (Rhesus monkey)
Lineage: Eukaryota; Metazoa; Chordata; Mammalia; Primates; Cercopithecidae
Source: Ensembl